UACAGAGGUCUCAAGCGUUGUUCGGAUUCAUUGGGCGUAAAGGGUGCGUAGGCGGCGCGGUAAGUCGGGUGUGAAAUCUCGGAGCUUAACUCCGAAACUGCAUUCGAUACUGCCGUGCUUGAGGACUGGAGAGGAGACUGGAAUUUACGGUGUAGCGGUGAAAUGCGCAGAUAUCAGGAAGAACACCCGUGGCUAAGGCGGCUCUCUAGUACGGUACUGACGCUGAGACGCGAAAGCGUGGGGAGCGAACAGG
This 253-nucleotide ribosomal RNA is filed under the name uncultured bacterium. Its description in RNAcentral is "partial 16S ribosomal RNA". It matches the Rfam family "Bacterial small subunit ribosomal RNA", at positions 524 to 776 of the family's 1533-position model. The record is from RNAcentral.